CUGAGGUGUCUGCGGUAGUCUGAGGUGCCUGGUGUGAGGCCUCUGUACACAGCACCUUGUGAGCAACUGAAACUAGAUGAAGCACAAAGGAAACAAAUGGAAACCAAAAGGGUUCCAAUUGAUUCCAGAGGUUGGAACAGCAUUGAGUCUGAAGCAUGUGCCUAAAUGACACCAGCAGAGAGGACUGGAAGUCUUUAUGGACAGAGGGGUUGG
Sus scrofa (pig) is the source of this 213-nucleotide non-coding RNA. NCBI's taxonomy places the organism in Eukaryota, Metazoa, Chordata, Mammalia, Artiodactyla, Suidae. The record is from RefSeq and is a predicted model, not a curated record.